Molecule: long non-coding RNA, 1334 nt
Filed under: Triticum aestivum (bread wheat)
Lineage: Eukaryota; Viridiplantae; Streptophyta; Magnoliopsida; Poales; Poaceae
Description: long non-coding RNA (TAES_LNC016619)
Source: RNAcentral
AUAUACCACAUAAUUAUACACCAUGUGGUGGACUUAAGUAUCUUAGUGACUUCAUUUGAUGUGUGUAUUUGUGUUAAUUUUAAGCUUAUGUUGCUAUGAAAAUGUACCUCACUGACCGUCUGUCUAUUUAUUGUGUACUUCUUGCAUGAGGAGGUGACUAGUGAUGCGACGCGCCAAGCAGCAGUAGGGGAAGGGGGUCUCCUGGUUAAGGAGGCGGAGGAGUAGGGGCGUGCCCAGCCGGCAGCCCUGUCCUGCUCGUGGGGGAGGGGCAGGAGGGGUCUGCUCCUCUGCUUCCAUUGCGACCGCGGCAGGUAGCUCCUCCAUCUCCCUCCCCCUCUUCCCGUGCUCACUACUUCUGCUGCUAAGUUGAUGAAUAUGUGAUGCACUUGUCCCAAGGAAUGUUAGAGGGAUCUGUAUGAACAAGUCAUGUUUUUAUUUUAUUUUAUUUAGGUUGUUAGUUACCAAACAGAGAGGGAAGAUGAGCUCCUGCUUGGAUUUUUUUUCUGCCAGCACAUGAUUUGUAUGUAUGCAACCAUCAUCUGAUUUGAUGCUACCUUGUCGUUCAUGCUGUGUGCAUUGAUUCCCACAAACUAUAACCUGAUUUGAUGCUACCUUGUCUUUUUUUCAAUUGAUAUUUGUCUCAUCCAACACUCUGACUAUAAAUGUGUUGUUUUAAUCCUGAUGAUGAUGUAGUACUAUAAGGUGGACAUCAUAUUCCAAGUCAGAUUGUUUUUGGUUUGUACUUUGGACCAUGUGUGUUUCUCACAUGAACUAGUGUUGUUGUAACAUGAACUGUAGUAGGUCGUUGUUAUCUAAAUGUGAUCAUUGCAAGGAGGAACCAUUGUUUGGCUUCAUCCCUUCCUCAUUUGAUCAUUUUUAUGGCCCAUAUGCAUUCUACGUGUUGCCUAACUUGGCAUGACGUGCACGAAAACUGUUUGGGCAUCCAUACUCUAGCUCUUCUUAAUUUUCAUGCAUGUUUCUUUCCAGACUUGAUCUUACUACUAAAUAGCUCACCUGUUGUUUUCUGUUUUCUUGUUGGCAGAUAUUUUGAGUAAAUUCAAGACCAAAGAUGUUCAAAGAAGCUCCAAGACAUUCUUAUAUAGCAAGUUCUAUAAUAAUAGCUGCGUUAUCUGGGAAUUUAAUGUAUCUUCUCUUUGUUUGUGAAUGAAAUAGUAAUUAUGUAUGUGAUUUAAUGUAUCUUCUCUCUGUUUGUGAAUUUCAUGUAUGUUUCAGAAUUACAAUUUCUGUUUCAUAUGAAAUAGUAAUUAUGUAUGUGAUUUGAAAAUGUGUGCAAUGGAAACAUGACUCAUGCGACCCACUUAUCAAAAUAAUUU